UAUAAUUUCUAUGUCAUUCUUUUUAACGUCCAUCAUUUUUUGGUCACAUGCUAUUUUUUCGAAAUACAUGAGAUAACAAUAUGUCUCUAUUCUUAACACGAUAUUUUUUCAUAUUACACGUUAUUUAUUAGGAUUACAUGUUAUUUUUUCAAAAAAAAAAUUUCUUAAUUCUAAAAACGCAUUACUUUUACAAAAAAAAAAACCCGGAUCUUUUUCACUAAGACAUAUUUUUGUUAAAUAAAAUUUAUUUUUCACUUAAUCUCACAGAAUAAUUAUAUUUCAUCAACACUCAUCC
This 295-nucleotide long non-coding RNA is filed under the name Capsella rubella. RNAcentral describes it as "long non-coding RNA (CRUB_LNC002288)". The record is from RNAcentral. Lineage: Eukaryota; Viridiplantae; Streptophyta; Magnoliopsida; Brassicales; Brassicaceae.